This 396-nucleotide ribosomal RNA is filed under the name uncultured bacterium. RNAcentral's name for it is "partial 16S ribosomal RNA". It matches the Rfam family "Bacterial small subunit ribosomal RNA", at positions 523 to 918 of the family's 1533-position model. The record is from RNAcentral.
AUACGGAGGGUGCAAGCGUUAAUCGGAAUUACUGGGCGUAAAGCGCACGCAGGCGGUUUGUUAAGUCAGAUGUGAAAUCCCCGGGCUCAACCUGGGAACUGCAUCUGAUACUGGCAAGCUUGAGUCUCGUAGAGGGGGGUAGAAUUCCAGGUGGAGCGGUGAAAUGCGUAGAGAUCUGGAGGAAUACCGGUGGCGAAGGCGGCCCCCUGGACGAAGACUGACGCUCAGGUGCGAAAGCGUGGGGAGCAAACAGGAUUAGAUACCCUGGUAGUCCACGCCGUAAACGAUGUCGACUUGGAGGUUGUGCCCUUGAGGCGUGGCUUCCGGAGCUAACGCGUUAAGUCGACCGCCUGGGGAGUACGGCCGCAAGGUUAAAACUCAAAUGAAUUGGCGGGG